AACGAACGCUGGCGGCAUGCCUAACACAUGCAAGUCGAACGAGACCUUCGGGUCUAGUGGCGCACGGGUGCGUAACGCGUGGGAAUCUGCCCUUGGGUACGGAAUAACAGUUAGAAAUGACUGCUAAUACCGUAUAAUGACUUCGGUCCAAAGAUUUAUCGCCCAGGGAUGAGCCCGCGUAGGAUUAGCUAGUUGGUGAGGCAAAAGCUCACCAAGGCGACGAUCCUUAGCUGGUCUGAGAGGAUGAUCAGCCACACUGGGACUGAGACACGGCCCAGACUCCUACGGGAGGCAGCAGUGGGGAAUAUUGGACAAUGGGCAAAGCCUGAUCCAGCAGUGCCGCGUGAGCGAUGAAGGCCUUAGGG
This 365-nucleotide ribosomal RNA is filed under the name uncultured bacterium. RNAcentral describes it as "bacterial SSU rRNA". It matches the Rfam family "Bacterial small subunit ribosomal RNA", at positions 29 to 422 of the family's 1533-position model. The record is from RNAcentral.